AUUGAACGCUGGCGGCAGGCCUAACACAUGCAAGUCGAGCGAACGGAGGACUGGUGAGUAAGGUAUGGGGCUCUGCCCAAUUGAGGGGUCUAACUACUGGAAACGGUGGCUACUACCGCAUACUAUCGGAUGAACCCCUAUGGGAGUAGCUAGUAGGUGGGAUAAAGGCGCACCUAGGCGACGAUCCCUAGCUGGACUGAGAGGAUGAUCAGACACACGGGGACUGAGAAACGGCCCAGACUCCUACGGGAGGCAGCAGUGGGGAAUAUUGCGCAAUGGGCGCAAGCCUGAAGCAGACAUGCCGCGUGUAUGAAGAAGGCAUUAGGAUUGUAAAGCACGUUCAGCGAGGAGGCGUUACCCAAAGAAGAAGCACCGGCUAACUACGUGCCAGCAGCCGCGGUAAUAC
Molecule: ribosomal RNA, 406 nt
Filed under: uncultured bacterium
Lineage: Bacteria
Description: partial 16S ribosomal RNA
Rfam family: Bacterial small subunit ribosomal RNA
Source: RNAcentral